UACGUAGGGUGCGAGCGUUGUCCGGAAUUAUUGGGCGUAAAGGGCUCGUAGGCGGUUUGUCGCGUCGGGAGUGAAACCCAGGGCUUAACUCUGGGCUUGCUUUCGAUACGGGCGGACUGGAGGCCAGUAGGGGGAUGCGGAAUUCCGGGUGUAGUGGUGGAAUGCGUAGAGAUCCGGAGGAACACCAGCGGCGAAGGCGGCAUCCUGGACUGGUCCUGACACUCAGGAGCGAAAGCGCUGGGGAGCGAUCCGG
This 253-nucleotide ribosomal RNA is filed under the name uncultured bacterium. Its description in RNAcentral is "partial 16S ribosomal RNA". It matches the Rfam family "Bacterial small subunit ribosomal RNA", at positions 524 to 776 of the family's 1533-position model. The record is from RNAcentral.